AUUGAACGCUGGCGGCAUGCUUUACACAUGCAAGUCGAACGGUAACAGGCCGCUAGGUGCUGACGAGUGGCGAACGGGUGAGUAAUGCAUCGGAACGUGCCCAGUCGUGGGGGAUAACUACUCGGAAGAGUAGCUAAUACCGCAUACGAUCUAUGGAUGAAAGCGGGGGACCGUAAGGCCUCGCGCGAUUGGAGCGGCCGAUGUCAGCUUAGGUAGUUGGUGGGGUAAAGGCUCACCAAGCCAACGAUCUGUAGCUGGUCUGAGAGGACGACCAGCCACACUGGGACUGAGACACGGCCCAGACUCCGACGGGAGGCAGCAGUGGGGAAUUUUGGACAAUGGGCGCAAGCCUGAUCCAGCAAUGCCGCGUGCAGGAAGAAGGCCUUCGGGUUGUAAACUGCUUUUGUGCGGAACGAAACGGCUCUGGUUAAUACCCGGGGCUAAUGACGGUACCGAAAGAAUAAGCACCGGCUAACUACGUG
This 482-nucleotide ribosomal RNA is filed under the name uncultured bacterium. RNAcentral describes it as "partial 16S ribosomal RNA". It matches the Rfam family "Bacterial small subunit ribosomal RNA", at positions 30 to 507 of the family's 1533-position model. The record is from RNAcentral.